GUCCAGCCGCGGUAAUACGGAGGGGGUUAGCGUUGUUCGGAAUUACUGGGCGUAAAGCGCGCGUAGGCGGAUUGGAAAGUUGGGGGUGAAAUCCCAGGGCUCAACCCUGGAACGGCCUCCAAAACUCCCAGUCUUGAGUUCGAGAGAGGUGAGUGGAACUCCGAGUGUAGAGGUGAAAUUCGUAGAUAUUCGGAAGAACACCAGUGGCGAAGGCGGCUCACUGGCUCGAUACUGACGCUGAGGUGCGAAAGUGUGGGGAGCAAACAGGAUUAGAUACCCCUGUAGUCC
RNAcentral lists this ribosomal RNA (288 nucleotides) under uncultured bacterium. RNAcentral's name for it is "partial 16S ribosomal RNA". It matches the Rfam family "Bacterial small subunit ribosomal RNA", at positions 506 to 796 of the family's 1533-position model. The record is from RNAcentral.